RNA transcript from Xyrauchen texanus (razorback sucker), 2892 nucleotides. RefSeq lists it as uncharacterized. The transcript is spliced from 5 exons. NCBI's taxonomy places the organism in Eukaryota, Metazoa, Chordata, Actinopteri, Cypriniformes, Catostomidae. The record is from RefSeq and is a predicted model, not a curated record.
CACAGUCUAUGACACACACAUGGAACCUGAUGCUGCGUUCACACCGGACGCGAAUAGCGCGUCAAAUUCGCGCCUACCGCGUCUAGUUAUACGCUUGACCACUUUGAAUCCAUUCGCGCGUCAAGAGCGAAAUUGACGCGCGUAAAAAACAAAAGUUUGAAGCGAAAUUUACGCGCCCAGAGGCGAAAUCCGUUGACGGCCAUCUUUUUACAAGAUGGCUGAUGUUGAUCGAGCAUUCGUGGAGAGAGUCACCGCUCUGUAUUUGCUCUGGAGAGCAGAACAGCGGCGUAUGGGUCGUCGUCGCCGUACUUGGGUCCACCAGACCCUCCGGAGGCGUUCCCAGUUCGGCGAAUUUCAUCAUUUGCUCCAGGAGCUGCGCCUGGAUGACGGCCGCUUUCAGCGGUACUUCCGCUUGUCCCGCGCCCAGUUUGAUGACCUGUUGUCCCGCAUCGGAGCGAGGAUACAGGCGCUCUAUCCCAGCUGCGGAGCGCCUGUCCAUCUGUCUUCGGUUUCUUGCCACAGGGGACUCAUUCAGGACCAUAGCGUCCAGCUUCAGGGUUGGUGUCUCAACAGUGAGCCAGAUCGUCCACCAGGUUGUGACUGCAAUCUGGGACUGUCUUGUGGAGGAGUACAUGGCUGUGCCCACCACUGAUGACUGGCGUGUCUUCAACUACCGCCUCUCCAGAGCCAGGCGCGGGACAUGCUGGAGAGGAGCCACUGCCAGGUCUGGGUCGGGUUGCGGCCAACAACUCCUCCAGAGAGGCACUCCGGGUGAGGGAUGUCUUCAUGGCACACUUCUCGGCGGAGGGAGCAGUACCAUGGCAGCCGACGGAGUAGCGUUUGAAGUCCUCCUCAUGACUUCCCCACAACGGCUCUUUUAAGAGCCACCCACAAACCUAUAAAGAGCUAAACUAUCUAAAAAUAGUCCAUUAUUAUUAUAUAUAUAUUUUUUUUUUCCCAGGUUGUCAGCCCCAGUUCCAGGAUGUCAGGUCCACAACAUGCACAUUUAUUAAGUUGAGACUUUUUAAAAACGUCAGGUUUUCCAUGGAUGGACCACAAAGUACAGUUAAAUCUGCCGCCAAGGCCCUGAUAAAUAUAAUUUCUAGAAAUUAAACAGGCCAGGCCACAGAGCAGACGACAGAGCAGGAUACAGGGCAGGAUACUAGGACUCCUCCAACACCCAGUGAGAGGGUCCAGCAUGAGUUAAGAAGACAGUUUCCCGGUUUCUAUCGUGGGGCACAAAGAAACAAGAAAAGGCCUGAAAUAUUUCUGUAGUAUCAGAGAAACUCAGUAGGAUUUUGAAGAAACACAACAUCCCUGUGUUUUUUAAACCCAAGAACACACUAAGACAGAUGAUGGUCCACCCAAAGACCGCACAGUUGGGGAAACUAAACCACCACUUCACAGACGCAUGGCUCAACACAGAAGGGCCAACUCCUCAGGUCAAGACUCAACAGUUUACCAACAUCUGAAGGACAGAGGACACUCGUUUGAGGACCACCAGGUGCACAUUUUAGACAGAGAAGAUGGAUGGUUUGAAAGAGGUGUCAAGGAAGCCAUCUACACCCGGGUUGAGAAGCCGUCGCUUUAACAGAAGAGGGGGUCUACGCCACCACUUAUCCCCCACUUACAAUGUGGUCCUUUCAUCACUUCCCAGGAAACUGAACAAACGUAACCUAUUGGCCUCAGGUGUUUCUGGCUCUGGAGCUGUGGAGACUGGAUCUGUGGUUGCGAGUCACCUGCUGCCCCCAUGUUCCUGUGCGACACCCUCUGUUACGAUUAUUGUUACUAGUCCUAUUACUAUUAUCAUUGCAACUAUUAUCAUAAACAUUGCUAUGAAUAUCUGUACCAUUAUUCGCUCUAUGGCAACAUUGCCGCUAUUGUCUGUACCUCUGUGUGUAUAUUUUGUAGGCUGCUCCUCCCUCUCUCCCCCUCCCUCUCUCUGGCUCUCUCUCUUUCUCUCGCCCCCAACCGGUUGAGGCAGAUGGCCGCCCACCCUGAGCCAUGGUUCUGCUCAAGGUUUCUGCCUCUUAAAAGGAACCUUGCCUCUGAAUAUCUGUACCAUUAUUCGCUCUAUGGCAACAUUGCCGCUACUGUCUGUACCUCUGUGUGUAUAUUUUGUAGGCUGCUCCUCCCUCCCUCUCUCCCCCUCCCUCUCUCCCUCUCUCUGGCUCUCUCUCUUUCUCUCGCCCCCAACCGGUUGAGGCAGAUGGCCGCCCACCCUGAGCCAUGGUUCUGCUCAAGGUUUCUGCCUCUUAAAAGGAACCUUGCCUCUGAAUAUCUGUACCAUUAUUCGCUCUAUGGCAACAUUGCCGCUACUGUCUGUACCUCUGUGUGUAUAUUUUGUAGGCUGCUCCUCCCUCUCUCCCCCUCCCUCUCUCCCUCCCUCCUCUCUCCCUCCCCCCACGUACGCCUUACAAAUGUCUUUUUGCAGAUCGCAGCAUGGACAAAAAUCCACAAAUGUGUAAAAAGGAGUUGCAAAUGUCACGUGACCUGGAGGCAAUCCACAAAUGCGUAAAAACAGUUUUGUGUGUAGAAAUGGAUCCACAAAAGCGUAAAUCACACUUUGUAUGUGAAAUAAAAAGAUAUUUGUACAGAUUAAAUUGUGUGUAUUUACAAAUCACACAUUAUUUUUGUGAAUAUGAUUUUACACAACACAAAUGUAAAAAUACAUGUUUUAGGUUGUGAGAUAUUUGUGUAUAUGUUUAUUUACAGAUCUCUGCAGUACACAUUGGAUAAAAUUCCACAAAUGUGUAAAAAGGAACUUACAAAUGUAACGUGACCCACAAAUUCACAGGAAGGAAUUUGCAAAUGUGUAAAAACAGUUUUGUGUGUAGAAAUGGAUCCACAAAUGCGUAAAUCACAAUUUGUAUGUGAAAUAAAAAGAUAUUU